RNAcentral lists this small nucleolar RNA (107 nucleotides) under Gossypium arboreum. Its description in RNAcentral is "Plant small nucleolar RNA R71". It matches the Rfam family "Plant small nucleolar RNA R71". Rfam says of the family: R71 is a member of the C/D box family of snoRNAs containing the C (UGAUGA) and D (CUGA) box motifs. The record is from Rfam by way of RNAcentral. Lineage: Eukaryota; Viridiplantae; Streptophyta; Magnoliopsida; Malvales; Malvaceae.
AACCCAUGGUGAGGGCACCUUCUUAGUAAGUCCUUGUAUCCUCUCCCAUGCAUCGUAAAGUGUUCUAAAUCCAUCUGCACAAAAGAAGAGAUAUCAUUACGUAAUUU